GUAGGUGGCAAGCGUUGUCCGGAAUUAUUGGGCGUAAAGCGCGCGCAGGCGGUCCCUUUAAGUCUGAUGUGAAAGCCCACGGCUCAACCGUGGAGGGUCAUUGGAAACUGGGGGACUUGAGUACAGAAGAGGAAAGCGGAAUUCCAAGUGUAGCGGUGAAAUGCGUAGAGAUUUGGAGGAACACCAGUGGCGAAGGCGGCUUUCUGGUCUGUAACUGACGCUGAGGCGCGAAAGCGUGGGGAGCAAACAGGAUUAGAUACCCUGGUAGUCCACGCCGUAAACGAUGAGUGCUAAGUGUUAGGGGGUUUCCCGCCCCCCUUAGUGCUGCAGCUAACGCAUUAAGCACUCCGCCUGGGGGAGUACGGCCGCAAGGCUG
This 376-nucleotide ribosomal RNA is filed under the name uncultured organism. Its description in RNAcentral is "partial 16S ribosomal RNA". It matches the Rfam family "Bacterial small subunit ribosomal RNA", at positions 527 to 896 of the family's 1533-position model. The record is from RNAcentral.